UACGAAGGGGGCUAGCGUUGCUCGGAAUUACUGGGCGUAAAGCGCACGUAGGCGGAUUGUUAAGUCAGUUGUGAAAUCUCCGGGCUUAACUCGGAACGGUCAACUGAUACUGCGCGGCUAGAGUGCAGAAGGGGCAACUGGAAUUCUCGGUGUAGCGGUGAAAUGCGUAGAUAUCGAGAGGAACACCUGCGGCGAAGGCGGGUUGCUGGGCUGACACUGACGCUGAGGAGCGAAAGCGUGGGGAGCGAACAGG
Molecule: ribosomal RNA, 253 nt
Filed under: uncultured bacterium
Lineage: Bacteria
Description: partial 16S ribosomal RNA
Rfam family: Bacterial small subunit ribosomal RNA
Source: RNAcentral